RNAcentral lists this ribosomal RNA (254 nucleotides) under uncultured bacterium. RNAcentral describes it as "partial 16S ribosomal RNA". It matches the Rfam family "Bacterial small subunit ribosomal RNA", at positions 524 to 776 of the family's 1533-position model. The record is from RNAcentral.
UACGUAGGGUGCAAGCGUUGUCCGGAAUUAUUGGGCGUAAAGAGCUCGUAGGCGGUCUGUCGCGUCUGCUGUGAAAACCUAGGGCUUAACUCUGGGCGUGCAGUGGGUACGGGCAGGCUAGAGUGCGGUAGGGGGAGACUGGAAUUCCUGGUGUAGCGGUGAAAUGCGCAGAUAUCAGGAGGAACACCGGUGGCGAAGGCGGGUCUCUGGGCAGUAACUGACGCUGAGGAGCGAAAGCGUGGGGAGCGAACAGG